UUAAAUAACGUCAGACUAGUCAAAACCUUAUUCCUAGUUUGUUGCCUGAAGUCCUGUGAUUUCGAAUAACUAACUCGUGGCUUUACGACACUUGAGUAAAAAUAUUCUUUUAGAGUUAGAAGAAGGAAUAUGCACCUUGAGGCCCCUUGGGGCUUGCUUGCUGUGGUGUGUUCCACCCCGCCCAGGCCCCUGACAGCAGGACUGAGAAAGGAACCUUGACCUUUUCCUUUAUAUUCGCAUGUACUAGCAUCUGGCCAGGCAUAUAGUAAGCAAUCAAUAAAAGGGUGACUGGAUGAAUGAAUGGAGAUGAAAUGAUGAGUAAACUUUGCCCAGAGGAAGUGGUUUCCCCAUAUUGUUUAUCACAUGCGAAAGAACUUGGUGAACAGGACUGAGUAUAAAUGCAUUGUGUGGAUCCUAAAAACUUACUAGAACAGUAGUUUUGAACAUAACUAUUCCAACAUAACUAUUAAAACUCAAUUACAAUGCACACUAAUCUAAUAGCUUUUAAUCCUGUGAAGGGAUGUGUAUAUAAAUUGAAAUGUCUAAUCUGAAUAUAUAGUACUUAAUUCCAUUAUAUAUUUUGACUUUCAAAUGUGAUGAAAAUACAUGCAGCAAAACAUUAGGCAUGUUUUUACAAGCUAUGGUCCAGCACUUGCCUAAAGGAAAUUACUGUAUGGGACAUACAAUUCUACACAAAUACUGAAACAUAAAUACAAAUGUACCUUUCUCCUCAUCAUGUUCUCUGGCACAGGAAGAGGCCAUGGGUAUGUACACAUAUACCCAAAGGGUCAUUUGUGCUUUAAAAGACCUUAAAAGCCUAAGAACCAAUUAAUUCCCUUGGAAAUCCAUCCAGAUAGGGAGGGCAGAAGAGUGCCCUCUUCUAAACUCUGGCUGGGCCCAGUAAGCCCUCUCACUCCUCAAUUUCUGAUCCAGGACAGAGCUCCAACAGACUCGAGGAGUGGAGGGAAGAAACGAGAAAACCAGGAAAAGGAAGAAGGCGAGGCACUGACAACACUCAUGGGCCCACUGAAAUAGUCCUUUUCAAACAAUCUUCUAGGGUUUGAAUAACACGUGAUGGAAGAUACCCUAGAAAACUGAGAUUCAAAGCACCAAAACUGAAAUCACAACACAAAGUAAUUUUCAUACCUGUUAACAGAAGAACAGGCUCUUGUUCUGUGCCUGAAAGGAGCGGAGCACCUUGGGCAGGAAGCUUCGACUUGCUGAGGACUUCAAGACCAGGAGACAGAAUGUUCGGAGGGACUGCCCCAAAGAGCUCAGGCAAAGAAGGGCGCUGAGAAGGGUGAUUCUGCCUGUCAUCAAGGAGCCAGAGACCAGAGAAUACACCGCCAACACUCCCAAGUGCAUCCGCAAAGUGGGCUUCAAGACACCUGGCCCUUGGGCACUCUUCAAGAUCCAGAAAUUUGCCUCGAAGGAGAUGGCAUCUCAGAUGUGCGCUUUGACACCAGGCUCAGCAAAGCUCUCUGGGGCAAAGGGAUAAGGAAUGUCCUGUACUGCUUCCAUGUGUGGUUGUCCAGAAAACAUACUGAGGAUGAGGAGUCACCAAACAAGCUUUACACGUCGGAUACCUAUGUACCUGUCUCCGCUGUCAAAAAUCUAUAGCCAAUGUAGUUGAGAACUAACAGCUGUUAUAAA
This is a long non-coding RNA of Camelus dromedarius (Arabian camel), 1653 nucleotides long. RefSeq lists it as uncharacterized. The record is from RefSeq and is a predicted model, not a curated record. The transcript is spliced from 4 exons. Lineage: Eukaryota; Metazoa; Chordata; Mammalia; Artiodactyla; Camelidae.